This 79-nucleotide transfer RNA is filed under the name Streptococcus pneumoniae CDC1087-00. RNAcentral's name for it is "tRNA-Ile". It matches the Rfam family "tRNA". From Rfam's summary of the family: Transfer RNA (tRNA) molecules are approximately 80 nucleotides in length. Their secondary structure includes four short double-helical elements and three loops (D, anti-codon, and T loops). Lineage: Bacteria; Bacillati; Bacillota; Bacilli; Lactobacillales; Streptococcaceae. RNAcentral also lists the same sequence under 10 other names. The record is from RNAcentral.
UGGGCGCGUAGCUCAGGUGGUUAGAGCGCACGCCUGAUAAGCGUGAGGUCGGUGGUUCGAGUCCACUCGUGCCCAUUAA